Molecule: ribosomal RNA, 301 nt
Filed under: uncultured bacterium
Lineage: Bacteria
Description: partial 16S ribosomal RNA
Rfam family: Bacterial small subunit ribosomal RNA
Source: RNAcentral
CAGCCGCCGCGGUAAUACGUAGGUGGCAAGCGUUGUCCGGAAUUAUUGGGCGUAAAGGGCUCGCAGGCGGUUUCUUAAGUCUGAUGUGAAAUUCCCGGGCUCAACCUGGGAAUGGCAGUGGAUACUGGCUCGCUAGAGUGUGUCAGAGGAUGGUGGAAUUCCCGGUGUAGCGGUGAAAUGCGUAGAGAUCGGGAGGAACAUCAGUGGCGAAGGCGACUAUCUGGGCCAACACUGACACUGAGGCACGAAAGCGUGGGGAGCAAACAGGAUUAGAUACCCCCGUAGUCCCUGUCUCUUAUAC